GAUGAACGCUAGCUACAGGCUUAAUACAUGCAAGUCGAGGGGAAACGAUAUUGGAAGCUUGCUUCCGAUAGGCGUCGACCGGCGCACGGGUGAGUAACGCAUAUCCAACCUGCCCACCACUUGGGAAUAACCUUGCGAAAGUAAGACUAACGCCCAAUGAUAUCUCUAGAAGACAUUUGAAACAGAUUAAAGAUUUAUCGCUGAUGGACGGGGAUGCGUCUGAUUAGCUUGUUGGCGGGGUAACGGCCCAGAGAGGCGACGAUCAGUAGGGGUUCUGAGAGGAAGGUCCCCCACAUUGGAACUGAGACACGGUCCAAACUCCUGCGGGAGGCAGCAGUGAGGAAUAUUGGUCAAUGGGCGAGAGCCUGAACCAGCCAAGUAGCGUGCAGGAUGACGGCCCUAUGGGUUGUAAACUGCUUUUAUAAGGGAAUAAAGUGAGCCUCGUGAGGCUUUUUGCAUGUACCUUAUGAAUAAGGACCGGCUAAUUCCGUGCCAGCAGCCGCCGUAA
RNAcentral lists this ribosomal RNA (508 nucleotides) under uncultured bacterium. RNAcentral's name for it is "partial 16S ribosomal RNA". It matches the Rfam family "Bacterial small subunit ribosomal RNA", at positions 28 to 523 of the family's 1533-position model. The record is from RNAcentral.